This 932-nucleotide ribosomal RNA is filed under the name methanogenic prokaryote enrichment culture B19_85. Its description in RNAcentral is "bacterial SSU rRNA". It matches the Rfam family "Bacterial small subunit ribosomal RNA", at positions 8 to 915 of the family's 1533-position model. The record is from RNAcentral.
AGAGUUUGAUCCUGGCUCAGAACUAACGCUGGCGGCGUGCCUAACACAUGCAAGUCGUACGAGAAAGUUGGCUUCGGCUGAUGAGUAAAGUGGCGCACGGGUGAGUAACGCGUGGAUAAUCUGCCUUUUAGUUGGGAAUAACGUACCGAAAGGUGCGCUAAUACCGGAUAAUACUGAGUGACUACUGUUGCUUAGUCAAAGAAGGCCUCUGUUUACAAGCUUUUGCUGAAAGAUGAGUCCGCGUACCAUUAGCUAGUUGGUCGGGUAAUGGCCUACCAAGGCUACGAUGGUUAGCUGGUCUGAGAGGAUGAUCAGCCACACUGGAACUGAGACACGGUCCAGACUCCUACGGGAGGCAGCAGUGAGGAAUAUUGCGCAAUGGGGGCAACCCUGACGCAGCAACGCCGCGUGAGUGAGGAAGGUUUUCGGAUCGUAAAGCUCUGUCGAGUGGGAGGAAAUGUAUCAUGGCUAAUAUCCAUGAUACUUGACGGUACCGCUAAAGGAAGCACCGGCUAACUCCGUGCCAGCAGCCGCGGUAAUACGGGGGGUGCAAGCGUUGUUCGGAAUUAUUGGGCGUAAAGAGCGUGUAGGCGGCUGAAUAAGUCAGAUGUGAAAUCCCUGGGCUUAACUCAGGAAGUGCAUUUGAAACUAUUCAGCUCGAGUAGGGGAGAGGAAAGUGGAAUUCCUGGUGUAGAGGUGAAAUUCGUAGAUAUCAGGAGGAACACCGGUGGCGAAGGCGACUUUCUGGCCCUAUACUGACGCUGAGACGCGAGAGCGUGGGUAGCAAACAGGAUUAGAUACCCUGGUAGUCCACGCUGUAAACGAUGUUCACUAGGUGUUGGGGGUAUUGACCCUCUCAGUGCCGAAGCUAACGCAUUAAGUGAACCGCCUGGGGAGUACGGUCGCAAGAUUAAAACUCAAAUGAAUUGACG